AGGCACUCUGGGAGGAGUUCUAUUCAGGACACCUUUUUAGAAAUUAAAAUUCCCAAAGUUCACAGGCUAGGAGUUACAGGCGCCCACCCGUUAGUACGGCCUUGGGCUUCAAGAGCAAAGCGCGGAAGGAGAGUGGAAAGGAAAGUGCCUACAACUCCCAGAGCGCCACGCGGGAGGCGUCCCGGCGCUGCCCGCUGCAGUCGCCGAGCGGCGCCGCGCUUUCUGUGAGGCCCGCCUGUCGCUUGCCGGUCCUACCCGCGCUCGCCGCCCUCGCGCCCGCCCCGCAGCCGGCGCGUCCAGCCGGCGCCUCGGUCUCGCCCUCCGCGAAGGCGGCCCGAUCUGCCCUUCACAGCCGCCUCUGUCCACUAAGGUCACCGAGGGGCCCGAGGCGCCACCGGCCCUUCUCGGAGGCCCUCGCUACUCCCGCUCCAUUCCCCCAAAUGCUCUGGACUCCCGGGAUGCUCUGGGGACAGGACAGACGCGGUCCCUGCUGCCACGAAAGUCCCUGCUUGCAGACUGUUGGAAUUGAGAAUCUCAAAGCAGAGAAGAGGAAGAGCUACAACACGCGAUCAUUGCUAUGAAAGAAACAUGGUCCCGUAGAGAGAAAAGCCGAUUUUAGGUGGGCCAACUUAGGCCCUUUGGUCUCCACCACGCCUCCCACCCAUGUCUUGGUGCGGGGACGUGAGCAUAAUCGCAUAUUUCCGUGUCUUUGAAGGUAUAUGGGGGGCAACACCCCGCCGCCCCCGACGGGAUCCCUGCACAGGACCUGGCAUUUCCCUGCCUGGACGCUGCUGUAAAGUCAGGAGAGACUAAAUGGAAACCACGGAUUCCUAGAUGCGGCUCCCGUGAACCUUUGGGCUAUUUGGGGGGAACCUUUGCAGUGUUUGAACUUAUAGUCCCUCUCCUGCUUUCCACAGACAACGUUGCCAGACACAUUAGGGGGCUCCAUAAAUAUUUGAGCACCUCUUAAUAUGUCAAAAUGUCCAGAUUCAGAGACAGGAAGAAGCACAGCGCUCCCAGCAUCCAACUCUGGCGGAGCUCAGCAAGCCUGGGCAGGGGGUUGGCAGGUGUAGAAGGCACUUUUACCACUUUUAAUACUGAGGAUUCAUCAGUAUUUCCUUCCAGCUCACAUUCUGCGGUAGAUUUAAAUGCUUGAAAUCCUCUCACAGCCCCUCAUCCCCUAUACGAUGAAAUUCAAGCUCCUUAGCACAAUCUGGAAGCCCCUUCGUGGUUUGGAGGUUGUCUAACUGACCAGGUUCAACUGCCUCUCCUUGCCUGGAACUUGCCAGGCUCGCGAAUUCAGAACAUUUGUAGGUCCCUAGUUGUUUCAUGUUUUCCCUAAAAGUCUUUGUCUCCCAGCCAACAAUCCUUUGUCCGUCUCCCCCCCCACCCCGCCAACUAUCCUUUAGACUUGAUUCUGGUCCCUCAGAACUAUCUGCUCUUCUCGAGGGUUUCUGGGGAUUCUAGAACAGCUGGGUUUGAAGCAUGGCUCCACAUUCUGGAUCUGGGGCUGCUUCUAGAACCUGCUUCUCACAGCUUCCUUGUUGGCCAAGCAGCGGUGAUAUUAGUACCUCUCCUCACACAACUGCUAUGGACAUGAUAUAGGAUGAUACGGGUAUGGAACUUAUCCAGAUAAAUGUUAGAUAAGGUAACAAGAACAGCUGAUGGCUAUGUGUGCCAAGCCCUGUUCAAAGUGUUAUGUGUUCCAAGCGUCGUAUGUUAAGUGAUUUAACUCUUCUCAUCUUCACAACGGCCUUGUGAAAGUGUUAUCAGCAUUCUCAUUGUGCAAAUGAGGGAACCGCCCAAGUGACUUUCCAAGGUCACCCUGCCGGGUCAAGAAUGGUGCCAGGAAUUGAACCCAAGCUGUCCGAUUGCAGAGAUCACACCAUGCUAUGGUGCCUCUCAGGAAAAGCUCUGGAAACACCACCUUCGUCAACGAGGACAGGUCCCAGGCCAGUGUCUAAAGCACAGAGGAAAUGUUAAGUGCUCCGAUAGCUGUGGACCUAGCAUGAUCUUCCCAUCUCCCUGGCUCUUGCGCUUAACUUCUAGCAGGCCAUCUGCUUCCAGUCUGCUGACUUGAGCUGAGAUCCUGCCCUCACCCCCAGAAUGUUGCCUCUUGAUCACUGAUCGUGCACAGACAUCUUCGGGAAGGUUCAUAGGGAGGCUGGUUCACUCAGCUCGUAGUAACUGAGCACCCAGUUCCUGAAGGUACAUCCUGAAUGGUGGGAAUUGAAAUUCCUGUGGCCUCCCGCGCAGUGGAGCCUCCUGAAGAGACCCCUGAACUGCUAGCAGACAACCAGCCGGUGGGAAAGGUGGGGCCUCACUGGUGCUCGAAAAUAAUAGCACUUCUCCGGCACCCUUUUCACUCACUCAUUCUUAGAGCCAACAAGUAUUGAGUGCACAUUCAGUGCCAGGUACUCUCAGGCACCAGACACAGCAUUUAGUAAGGACCUGAAUGAAGAGAAACAGUGUGCACAUGUAGACCUAGCGACAGAGUGUUCUGCACAAGAGAAGAGGUGUGAAGGCUCUGGAGUGUGAGCAAGCUUGAUGUGUUCCAGAAAUGAGAUGAGGAUACCUGGAGCAUGAACCGUGAUUCCUGCUCGCUGGAGCAGGAAUUGAGAGCCACACCCUCAGGGGUGCUACUGUCACACAGCUGCUGUCACCACCACGGCCUGAGGGGCCACCAGAAUCCUGGGCUGGGAUGGCUCCUCCCUCCCUCCUGUCUUCUGAAGCCCUGCUGGUGCCUCCUGGAGGCAGGGUCACCUGACCAGGGCAUCUGGGAAACGAGGUUUGCAGGCUCCCGGUCCUGGCUGUGAAGAAGAGCCUAAAAAGGCAAGCGCAGGACGGGAACCACAGACGCCAUUCCCACACCAGCCACUGCACACCUCUGUAUGAGGAGGGAAACAAGUAUGUGUUCAACAAAUUACUGCACGGAUGCUUCAUAGCACGUAGUAAGCAUGUGGGAAAGGCAAACAGAAACACCUUUAGUGUAAUAUCUUAUACUAAACACCUUUAUAUAAACACCUUUAGUAUAAUAUUUUAACGUGAAGGUCUGAACUUCUGAUGUGAGGCAUCAAAAAUGAGCAUUUUUAAAAUAGAAUCUUAAAUCCGAAUGGGUGAUGUAUUCACCCAUCGAAUUCAAAUUGCAAAGCGAUAUGCGGCGAAAAUAAGUUUCUCAUAUCCUGUCUUCUCAUUGCCUCAUCCUUGACUCCUCCUAAAGCUAUCGCUGGUCCCUUUCUUCUGUGUCUACGGAUCGUCCAGACCGGGGCAAGGGUAUGCGUCUAUUCAAAACAACUGUUUUCUUUGACCCACAGGGUGCGUGCCACGCACACAGCUCCGGGACUCGCGUUUCUCUCUCCACCGAAUCUUGGAGGUCGCUCUCAGCACACACCACUUUGUCUUACCAGAACCAUGAUUUUCCUAGCCAGCCUCCCGUAGUCUUUUACCGUUUCAGAGAGGGCUGCGGUGCGUACACUUGCACAACUUCCUAGUGCCCGUGCGCAUGUCUUCCUGUGGGAUCAUUUCCAAAAGGGAACUUGCUGGGUCAAAGGCUGUGGGCGCUUGUCACUGUGAUAAAUACGGCCCGACCGCCCUCCGCUCCCACCAGCGGGGGCUGUUUUCCCGAAGCGUCACCGGCACCCUCUUCACGCCGCCCCCAUGGAGGCCCCAGACGUGGAGGGACAGAGAUAAGCCCUCCCUGCUGUGCCCUGUCUGGAUUCCUGACCCACAGACUGCAUGAGCAGGAUCAAAUGGCUGCUGCUCUAUGCCUCCGUGAAGUGGCUGGUUACGCGGCAGUAGGCAGCUGGAACAGCCCCUUCCUAAACUCCUUUUGGCACAGCUCUGCACUUGGUGAGACAAAAGUGGGCCUACCUGUGCUCCCUGCUGCAAAAGCGCAGUCGUUAGCCCAACUGCAGCUGGCCAGUGUCCUUCCAGGAUGUUCCUGGGGAGCCUCCGUCAUCCCACCCAUCGAUCGGCAGGCCACCUCGGAUGCAGAAAAGGCCCCGGUGUGUGUGCAGAAACCACACUCUUCCGGAACCCCCAGCACAUGCCGUUCACGCCCGUUAAGAUAAAACAGUUGCCACAGUUACACACAGCGAGUCUGGGAAAGGCACAGAUCGCUCCUAAUUUAUCUUCUUGGUGGAGACUGAUAGCGGCCAGCAUGAGCGGUGAGCCUACUUAGCAGUUGUGGUGAUCCAUGGGAGGUAUGUCACUCGCUCAUUUGUCACCUAAUCCUUGCUGAGCACCUGCUCUGUGCCAGGUUGUGAAAAAGCCCUGGUGACAGAGGAAUAGAUGGAUGAGGCCGCUGCCUUCCAUCAGCCCUAGUUCAGGGCUGGGGCAGACGGGGCAAGGAUACCGAAGGGUGACGCGAACGGGUGACAUUCCAGUGUUGGUUUUUUAAGUUCGUUAAUUCAUUUAGAGAGAGCGAGAGCACAUGUGAGCGGGGGAGGGGGGGAGGGAAAGAGAGAGAGAAUCCCAAGCAGGCUCUGUGCUGUCACCGCAGAGCCCAGUGUGGGGCUUGAUCCCGUGAACCGUGUAAUCAUGACCUGAGCUGAAACCAAGAGUCGGACGCUGAACCAACUGAGCCACCCAGGCGCCCCUAUGGGAACGUUCCCGUGUUGAUAUGCGGAGGAAAUAGGCAAACUGGGCCAAGAUGGUUUGGUAAUAAUAGUGCCUUUUUGCAGUGCCUUGUAUGGCCUGCGCCUCCCUCGGGAGCGUGAGGUAGGCGAGACAUCCAUUCGUGUAUUGAUUUCGCAGCCGGACUGGGGCUGGGGGAUGGCAGGGGAAGGGAGGCGAUUCAGGAUAUAUUCCCAGGACAUUGAAACAUACUGUGUGUUCAUUCGCUAGGGCUGCCACAACAAAGUACUACAGACCGGUCCUCACAUGACCCCCUGUGCGCAUGCGCGCGCGCGCGCACACACACGCACGCUCCUCGUGUCUCCUUGCGGGUCCACAUUUUCUCUUCUUCUGAAGUAGCCAGUCAGAUCGGGUCAGGGCCACCCAUGUGCCCUCAUUUCACCUCACUUGCCUCUUUAAAGACUAUCUCCAAAUACAGCCCCAUUCUGAGGUCCCGGACUUCAACAUAUGAAUUUUGGGGUGACACAACUCUGCCCAGAAACACACUGUUGGCUAGUUUGGACUGAGGCCACCAUAUGUAGCAAGUCUCUGUGCCCUGCGGUGACCGUUGCCAACACCCAGCCUAAAAGAAGUUGGAGAUCCAAAGGAACAUUGAUUCGGGACAAGGAUGUGUGGGGUGACGACACUUGCCCUGGGCCCCGUGGGUUGGGCUGCUGUGGGCUGGUGGGUGGCUGCACGCGAAGCUGUCUAAAGGGCACCCGUGCUCUCGCCAGCACUAUUCAGUCACCAAACGAUGGAACUACCCACGGAUGAAUGGAUAAACCCAAACGAUGGAGUAUUAUUUGGCCAUUAAAAAAGUGGGAUGAAAAUGUUCUGGAAGCAGGCAGACGUGAUGAUCGGCAUCUGUGACAGACCCUUAGUCCACCCUCACUAGUGCUCCUUGAUGGGUUCACUCUUUGAGCACUGAAAUAUAUUUAUUUAAAUGGGAAACUCUAUGUGACUAUCCAAAUGUAAUGUCUGUAUCAUAGGCAGGACCUUACAAAAAUAAAUACAAUAAAACAACAAAAAAAAGGUUAUUAGAUUCUAGUUAGAUAUUGUCGCUCCCCUAAAGCUCCCUCAGAAAGGGGGGCGCUUGCCCCCUAGGUGAGAUGUUGCCAUUUAACUCUGGGCUCCGCACAACCCAGGACCACCUUGCUGGCCAGCCAGCCUUUGAGGAAAUAUAGCCUCACACUAAGUAAGGAGCACUCCCCAAAUCCCAGUGGGGGGGGCAGGGGAGGAUUUCUCUCUCUCUCUCUCUCUCUCUCUCUC
Acinonyx jubatus (cheetah) is the source of this 5883-nucleotide long non-coding RNA. RefSeq lists it as uncharacterized. The transcript has 3 exons. The record is from RefSeq and is a predicted model, not a curated record. NCBI's taxonomy places the organism in Eukaryota, Metazoa, Chordata, Mammalia, Carnivora, Felidae.